AUUGAACGCUAGCGGGAUGCCUUACACAUGCAAGUCGAACGGAGUGGCGAACGGGUGAGGAAUGUAUCGGAACGUGCCCAGUAGCGGGGGAUAAAUACGCGAAAGCGUAGCUAAUAACGCAUACUAUUGGAGCGGCCGAUAUAGGAUUAGCUAGUUGGGGGGGUAACGGUUCACCAAGGCGACGAUCCGUAGCUGGUUUGAGAGGACGGCCAGCCACACUGGGACUGAGACACGGCCCAGACUCCUGCGGGAGGAAGCAUUGGGGAAUUUUGGACAAUGGUGUAAACCCUGAUCCAGCCAUCCCGCGUGUGCGAUGAAGGCCUUCGGGUUGUAAAGCACUUUUGGCAGGAAAGCGGUACCUGCAGAAUAAGCACCGGCUAACUACGUGCCAGCAGCCGCGGUAAUUC
Molecule: ribosomal RNA, 407 nt
Filed under: uncultured bacterium
Lineage: Bacteria
Description: partial 16S ribosomal RNA
Rfam family: Bacterial small subunit ribosomal RNA
Source: RNAcentral